CUUUUUUUAAAAAAUUUGGUCAAUUUCAAACAUUAUUCCUUGGUUACAAAAAUCAUAUUCUAUUCUUCCCUCCCCUCUUCCCACCCUUUCUGUAGCUGAUGUGCAAGUCCACUGGGUAUUACAUGUGUCCUUGAUCAGCACCUAUUUCCAUGCUGUUGAUGUUUGCACUAGGAUUUUCAUUUAGGAUCUGUAUACCCAAUUACACCCCCCUUGACCCAUUUAAUCAAGACUUUGUUUUCCUUCUGUGUUUCUGCUUCCACAGUUUUUACUCUGCAUAUGGAUAGUGUUCUUUCUCAUAGAUCCCUCCAGGUUGUUCAUGAUCACUGCAUUGCCACUAAUGGAGAAGUCCAUUAUAUUCUAUUAUCAGUCUCUGUUUACAAUGUUUUCCUGUUUCUGCUCCUUUCACUCUGCAUCAAUUUCUGGAGGUCAUUCCAGUCGUCAUGGAAUUCCUCCACUUUAUUAUUCCUUUGAACACAAUAGUAUUCUAUCACCAACAUAUACUACAAUUUGUUCAGUAAUUCCCCAAUUGAAGGGCAUCCCCUACUUUUCCACUUUUUUGCCACCACAAAGAGUGCAGUUAUGAAUAUUUCUGCACAAGUCUUUUUCCUUAUUAUCUCUUAGUCCUUAUUAUCUCAUAGCCCAACAGUGCUAUGGCAAGAUCAUAGGGCAGUCUUUUAGCGCCUUUUAGGCAUUGUUCCAAAUUACCUUCCAGAAUGGUUGGACUAAUUCACAACCCCACCAGUAAUGCAUUAAUAUCACAACUUUGUCACAUCCCCUCCAGCAUUCAUUACAUUCCAUUGCUGUCAUGUUAGCCAAUCUGCUAGGUGUGAGGUGAAACCUCAGAGUUGUUUUGAUUUGCAUCUCUCUAAUUAUAAGAGAUUUAGAACACUUUUCAUGUGCUUAUUAAUAGUUUUGAUUUCUUUAUCUCAAAAUUGCCUAUUCAUGUUCCUUGCCCAUUUAUCAAUUGGAGAAUGGCUUGAUUUUUUGUACAAUUGAUUUAGCUCUUUAUAAAUUUGAGUAAUUAGACCUUUGUGAGAAGUUUUUAUGAAGAUUGUUUCCCAAUUUGUUGCUUUCCUUCUAAUUUUGGUUGCUUUGAGGUUUUUUUUGGUACAAAUUUUUUAAUUUGAUGUAAUCAAAAUUAUUGAUUUUACAUUGUGUGAUUUUUUUCUAACUCUUCCUUGGUUUUAAAGUCUAUCCUUUCCCAAAGGCCUGACAUGUAUACUAUUCUGUGUUCACCUAAUUUGCUUAUAUUUCCUUCUUUAUAUUCAAGUCAUUCACCCAUUCUGAAUUUAUCUUGGUGUAGGGUAUGUGAUGUUGAUCCAAACCUAAUCUCUCCCAUACUGUCUUCCAAUUUUCACAGCAGUUUUUAUCAAAUAUUGGAUUUUUGUCCCCAAACCUGGGAUCUUUGGACUUAACAAAGACUGUCUUGCUGAGGUCAUUUACCCCAAGUCUAUUCCACAGAUAAGCCUCCUUUCUGUCUCUUAGCCAGUAGCAAAUUGUUUUAAUUACUACUGCUUUAUAGUAUAGUUUGAGAUCUGGGACUACAAGGCCUCCUUCCUUUGAAUUUUUUUUCAUUAUUUCUC
Molecule: long non-coding RNA, 1583 nt
Filed under: Monodelphis domestica (gray short-tailed opossum)
Lineage: Eukaryota; Metazoa; Chordata; Mammalia; Didelphimorphia; Didelphidae
Description: lncRNA (ENSMODG00000044922.1)
Source: RNAcentral